GACGAACGCUGGCGGCGUGCUUAACACAUGCAAGUCGAACGGAAAGGCCCUGCUUUUGUGGGGUGCUCGAGUGGCGAACGGGUGAGUAACACGUGAGUAACCUGCCCUUGACUUUGGGAUAACUUCAGGAAACUGGGGCUAAUACCGGAUAGGAGCUCCUGCUGCAUGGUGGGGUUGGAAAGUUUCGGCGGUUGGGGAUGGACUCGCGGCUUAUCAGCUUGUUGGUGGGGUAGUGGCUUACCAAGGCUUUGACGGGUAGCCGGCCUGAGAGGGUGACCGGCCACAUUGGGACUGAGAUACGGCCCAGACUCCUACGGGAGGCAGCAGUGGGGAAUAUUGCACAAUGGGCGGGAGCCUGAUGCAGCAACGCCGCGUGCGGGAUGACGGCCUUCGGGUUGUAAACCGCUUUCGCCUGUGACGAAGCGUGAGUGACGGUAAUGGGUAAAGAAGCACCGGCUAACUACGUG
This 467-nucleotide ribosomal RNA is filed under the name uncultured bacterium. Its description in RNAcentral is "partial 16S ribosomal RNA". It matches the Rfam family "Bacterial small subunit ribosomal RNA", at positions 28 to 507 of the family's 1533-position model. The record is from RNAcentral.